This 630-nucleotide ribosomal RNA is filed under the name Maja spinigera. RNAcentral's name for it is "partial 16S ribosomal RNA". It matches the Rfam family "Bacterial large subunit ribosomal RNA", at positions 1829 to 2729 of the family's 2925-position model. The record is from RNAcentral. Lineage: Eukaryota; Metazoa; Arthropoda; Malacostraca; Decapoda; Majidae.
GUCUAUAUGAACAUCUAUAUAGUCUAACCUGCCCAUUGACAGUAAUGUUAAAAGGCCGCGGUAUUAUGACCGUGCAAAGGUAGCAUAAUCAUUAGUUUUUUAAUUUGAAACUUGUAUGAAAGGUUGGACAAAGGAAAGACUGUGUCUAUUGUAAAUCUUGAAUUUAACUUUUAAGUGAAAAGGCUUAAAUAAAUUAGAGGGACGAUAAGACCCUAUGAAGCUUUAUAAGUGGUAAAAGUUAAUUAAAUUAAAAAUAAAAUUGUAGUUUUAUAUUCUUAUUAUAUUGGGGCGAUAUAAAUAUAAAUUAUUUAACUGUUUAUAAAAAAGACAUUUAUUAGUGAUUUUUUGUUAGAUGAUCCUUUCUAAAGAUUUAAAGUCUAAGUUACUUUAGGGAUAACAGCGUUAUUUAUUUUGAGAGUACUUAUCGAAAAAUAAGUUUGCGACCUCGAUGUUGAAUUAAAUUGUCUUUAUAGUGCAGCUGCUAUAAAAGAAAGUCUGUUCGACUUUUAAAUAUUUACAUGAUUUGAGUUCAGACCGGCGUAAGCCAGGUCAGUUUCUAUCUUCUAAAUUUGAAUAAUUACUUUAGUACGAAAGGAUUAAGUAAUUAAAAUAGUUUUGAGGUUAAAUAUA